AUUGAACGCUGGUGGCAUGCCUUACACAUGCAAGUCGAACGGCGAGCACGGGGCAACCCUGGUGGCGAGUGGCGAACGGGUGAGUAAUACAUCGGGACGUGCCCCGUAGCGGGGACAACCAGUCGAAAGACUGGCUAAUACCGCAUACGCUCCACGGAGGAAAGCAGGGGAUCGCAAGACCUUGCACUAUGGGGAGCGGCCGAUGCCCGAUUAGCUAGUUGGNGAGGUAAAGGCUCACCAAGGCAACGAUCGGUAGCUGGUCUGAGAGGACGACCAGCCACACUGGGACUGAGACACGGCCCAGACUCCUAC
RNAcentral lists this ribosomal RNA (312 nucleotides) under uncultured bacterium. Its description in RNAcentral is "bacterial SSU rRNA". It matches the Rfam family "Bacterial small subunit ribosomal RNA", at positions 29 to 342 of the family's 1533-position model. The record is from RNAcentral.